GUAGAGCAGCGCCUUGUUCUCCCCGCACUCCACCUCGAUGCAAGGCUCUCCGUUGUCAAAGAAGGGCUGGAAAUCCGGGAUGGAGGAAAACCUCUCCAGCAUCAGGGGGAGGCGGUGGCAAGCUGAACUUGCCUUCCAGACAGCGAAACGCGGGCUUGCUGUUGCGACAAUUGGCCAGUGAGAGAGUUCGCAGGGUAGUUUCUGAGCAGUAACAGCCCCUGCCACUUCAGCACCAGCUCUCAGAUGAUCUCGGAGCAUUCACAGACAAGGACAAACACCACCUCCUUGCACCUUCUCAAGGAAGCUGCUUUUAGCUUCGUUUUACUGGUGGAGAAGCCGAAGCGUAAAGAGUCUGAGAUGGCGAACACGAGCGCUGUACUCUCGCUGGGGUUACGCAGCUACUCCGUCCCACUGCGAGUGAAUACAGGCCAAUACAGGUGAUGAGUUCACCCUUAUGCACCAGAUGACUUGCCCAAGAUCUUACAGGUGUUAUUUUCUGCCCCCCCGAGCUCUCAGAUGACAGGUACCCCUUUCUACAAAAAGUCCACUAAUGGACCACUUGUGGGAGAAGCUAUCGCUUCCUACCUGUAAAGGAGGAGGAAACUGCCUCUCUGGGGUUCAGCAGAUGUGGGAAUGGAACCUAAGCCCUGAACCUCAAUUUUCUCUUGACGCUACUUGAUCAUGAUCCUUGUUUCUUGCCUAUUUAUUCUCAAGAAAUGCAAGCUCUGGGAGCCAUCCUUGCUUCUUGCUCUAAUGAAGGAGGCAGAUAUACAUACCCAUCAAACCCUCUCAUUUAGGCUUUCAGGCUUAGGCUCUUAUUCUUAAUGCUUCUGAUUGCUCAAGAUGACAGGGGAAAAAUCACUUUCUAUUAUCACCUAAUGAACCAAGGAAAAUGCUUGGAAGAGGCUCUGGGAGACACAGGCAUUCUCUGUGAAAGCAUAUAAGAGGAUUCUGGAUGGAGGUCAGGUGAGAAGGCCAUACAGUGAGAAGAACUGCUCGCUCUUAACGCUCCCAGAAAACCUUCGUGCCUGGCAUACCUAGAACUGCACUGAGCUCUGAAAAAGCUUGAGAACUACUUCAGCCUUCCUUUGACUCCAUCUUCUUUAUAAUUUGGCUUCAUGGGACUGAUUUCACUUUUUUACAGGGGAGUGGGAAUUUUUUUCUCAAAGCCCUCUUUCUUUUUUACAGCCAUAAGGGUUACUAUUCUUCUUCCACCUCUAUUCUUAAUCGCAACUUCACCUCCAAAUGUAGAGAGAGCUUGGCCACAACCUUCUCCAAAGACAAGUCUCCAGGAGGGGUCACAGGAGAGCAGAACAAGAAUGGCCUUCAUCCUCCAGGAACAAAUCCUUUUGCAGUACUCACUUCUAGACUUCUCAGAUCUCUGUGGUUUGGAUACAUGCUCCACUCUCCUAGCAGCACCUUGCAUUAUCAUCCAGCCUUCCCCCCCCAAUUAAACAGCUGUAAUGAGACCUUCUAUGUUAUUUACCUUUUACUUAUUUACUUUUAUUUACCUUUUAUUUUAAAGGAAAAGGUAACUUGCCAUGGGAUUUUCCCACUGCAUGUCAGCUCAGUUGCUUUUUGCCUCUAAAGAAUGGCUCAAAUCUGGACCUAGUCAUAAGUGAAGUGAAUAUGCUGAGUCUUUAUUCUCAAAGGGCAGCACCUACUUGGCUGUGGUUCAUUCCUGGAAAAAACAGGCACUUGAUGCCAGUCGUGAUGUAGGUGCACUGGCCAAGCUGUGGAGAGAUCCAGCACUGGAAGAGUAAAGGCUGCAUGAUGGUGGCUCAAUAUGAGGUGUAUGGCUUGGACCAGGCAGGGUUUCUCACGCACAUGUAAGGUGUUCUGGCAGAACUCAGUGAAGUUUGGAGGGAUGCAAGAGGCACAGUUUCAGGCUGAUCCUCUCAGUCUCUCACAAGCACUAAAAGUUACUACCAAGGCCUCCCUACCCCUCCCUGCUGUAAUAAAGAACAAGAGCUCUGGCUGGAUGUCUGAGUCGGGCAGCAGGAGUCUGAAGUUGUUUGGAUCCAGUCUCUUUAACAGUAGAGCUUUCAGGAUUAGUGUAAACAGAUUCACCACUGGAGAGCAGAUCAGAGAGAUCUAAGCAAAUCCAUGCACACGUGGUUAGAGAACCAGCUACGCUUUGCAAACUCCACACUGAGGAACUGGAACAUGUUUUUGAGUCUGGGGGCACAAAUCACCAUGUCUUUUUGUUGUGUGUUUCCACAGCACCUAGCAAAGUGAAAGCAUGAUUCUUAAUUUGCUCACAGAGGCACUACCACAGUAAACAAAGUAAAUAGCGAUCAUUUUCUAACAUUGAGUUCUCCACCUCCGGAAUACAUCAUGUUGGAUUGAAACAAAACCUGGAUCUUUUAUUUCUCUCAGGUCAAAUGUGUCAAAAAACUGCAAAGAGGGAGCUGUGCUAUAAAGCAUUUUGCAGGAGAUGGUAUUUCAAGCAUAGGUCUGAAAGUUAAGAGAUAAGGAUUUUCUUCCUUACUCUAUCACCAGUUUCAUGGACAAAUUACUUACCCUGGAUAUGCCUCCAUUAUUCUACCCAUAAAAGAAGGGAAAACUUCCUAAAUGUAAUUUGUUAUUUACAUGUAUGACAGUAAACCUCUGAAUUUCUAACUGAGAUCAAAGGUCCUUUGUGACAAGUGUUUUAAAAACUCAUUGCAGAUGCAGGCCCUGCCCCUUUACAGGAAAGACAGGUUGAGGCUGGGAGGAGAGAGACACCCAGGUACGUGUAAAAUGACCAGCCUGAGUUCAGAAACUAACCCAGAGCUUCUGUCUUUCCAUGAUUCCAGCACAGAUGCCAUACAUGUCGUCUCUGGCACCACCAUGCCUCUGCUGAAGCUAAGCUAAAGGAACAGAUACAACGUUCUGUCAGCAUAGCUGCAUCUAUAGCACUGGUCUUGCUGACCUUGUCAUAGCAGGUCUGUAGCAUGAGUUUCUCACAGUCCAAAACUAACUACACUAGCAAAGUUCUGUCCUGUACGCUAGAAGAGCUUAGAUAAUAAAACAAGUCUUUCAACAAUUGGCGUACUAUCCACUGAAUCACGUUGUUUCCCCCAAAGAAGCUGGGGUGAAUAGCCUUUUAAGACUGCAAACGAACAGCUCCUCUCCCCACUCCCCUAUCUUUCCACAGAAUUACCCUGACACUAUUCCACCAGUGACAGAAAGCAACGACUCUGUUGCUACCAAAUCGCUGAGCCUACUGAAAGACAGGGAAGGAGACCAAAGAGCCACACCACCACCUCCCGAGCCAGCCAGAUUCAUGCCUUCCCCUGUCUCUUUCACAGUCUCAGAGGACAUCAGGGCUGUCUAACAGCCAGGAUUCACUGGUUUUUGUCUUUUAUUCCUUGCCAGGUGUAGCCCAGCUCUGUGCUCACUGCAUGUGAACAGCCAGCCAUGCUGCCAAAGUCAUGCUCAGCAGGAUCAGUAUUGGAGGUAAUAGUAGCCUCAGGCCAGACUGCUUCAUUAUGAGAGAUAUUUUGACAGCCCAGCAGCAAGAGCUACAGCAGGGAGGGCACAGGUGGGUAUUCAGGGGAGGAGGGUUGGGAAGGAGGACACUGAAAAGGGCUUUGCCUCUGAAAAAGAAUGUCUUCUCAGGAACUACUGAGAUCCCACUGAUACAGAACACUGCCUUUUACACCAAUUAAUUGGAGUGAAAAAGGAACACCAUGUAACUCCUUGAGUUUUUUCUGUAUUUCUUGAAAGUAGUGACACGGUAGUAUGAGCUUACACAACAAACCUGAGCUGCAAAUCGCAUACAUCCCUCUCUAAUGCAGGCAUUUUGUCUGCUUCCAAGAGAACAGCCUGGGACAGUCAAUGGUGGUUCAAGACACUCCCUUCUCACCAAACUAUUUUCACAAAAUACCUCUUCCAAAUCACCCUCCCUACAAGUGCUUUGUAUAGCUAUGUGACCAGUCUAAGUAGAUCAGUACUCAAAAAAAUGGAGAAAUUAAAUGUUGGGGAGACAUGAAGGAAGUUUUAUCUGGGAGGCAAGGACUCUAAUUCUAACCUAGCUGCUUCAUUCUUCUAAAUAAUGAAUAACUUCCUGUCCAGGGAACACAUUUUCUGUUCUCUGCCUUGGUAUAGUGGUUAUGCUGUGCUGUAAACAGUCACCCGGCCUAUAGCCUAGAGACCUUUGUAUGCUGCUACACAAACUGUGCAGCAGGAAUCACCCUGUGACUGCACUGGGAGGCUGGCUGUGCACCCAGUGACCAUUUUCCUUUGUCUUGUGCUGUCAGGGGAUAUGGCACUGAAAAACCUAUCGAAUGAUAGGAGGACUGAUUCACCUCUCUUCCUUACUGGUUGAAGUUCAGGGAUGUUGCGAUAACUUAGAUCAGAAUCAGCCUUGAGAUCUCUACAAGAAGUUUAAAUUAAAAGGGUACAAUCCUAUUUCCGUUAAAACCAAUGGCAAAUUUUUACUGACUUCACACUUCAGUGUUCUAGUCCUCCAUAAUAUAGCAAGAAAUUGCCCCUCUCUGCAAAGGUUUUGGAAAACAACGAGCUUAGUUACACUCAAGUAAUGCCUCCAUGAUGUAAAAAAAGCACUUACAGAAAUCAUCAGUGGAGUAAGGCCUUAAGUGUCAGAGCUGCUGUUAUAGUAACCAUUCUAUCUGACUCUACUUCUAAGGCAAAAGCUGCCUUUUUUGCAGUUCCAGUCAUUGGACAGCUUCCCUGUGCUUCUCUCUGCAUUAACUAUAUUUCUUUGUGCAUAUUGCAAUUAAAAAUGCAUCUUUCUCUAUUGUCUAGUCUGCUUUCCUCAGAGGUUAUUUAUUGCCAAUUCCUAGCUGUUGUGAAAGACGAGAUAUCAGAGUUGUAAUGCAGAAGAAAGCUCCAUCAGAUUCUCUCUUUUUCCUAAAGCCUUUGUUUGUGCUACUCUGCUCCACUGCUACAAAAAACUCACUGUAUUGGUGAAAUGAUGGUCACCUUGUAUUAAUCUAAAGCUUGGCUGUGUCCCAACACUUGUGUAUCAUUCUUUGCUACUCCACUUCCCUAACUUCCUGCCCGCCUUCCCUCCUACAAUCAUAGUAACAAAAAGAUACACUGAAAAACUGACUAUCCAAGAAUCUGGGUAUGGCUGGAAUCUAUUGUUGGAUUAAAAAAAAAAAUAAUGGUGACCAUUGAAAAGAAGAUGGCAUGACGUGUGCCAUCCCAAUGUCAAACAGUGCCAUAAAAGAAUAAGCCAGGGGUCUCUCCCUUAAUUCACAAGUGUCUACAAGCACGUGUGCACAAACAGAGCACUUCUUUUCAGUUAGGCGGAUGAACCUUGUUAGCUAAUCCUUUGGAAGUAAUGAGUCUGGUGUAAUCAAGGUGUGACUGCUUUUAAUACAUGCUAGAAAGAUCAAAUUAAAGACUAGGUAGAACCUGCCUUGACCAAUUUAGGAGGUGCUGAAGUACACACUACCUGAGGUUGCUUACAGUUUUUGAAUACAUUAAUUAGAGCUAACAUGUUCUAAAGUCUUUAAAUCAUUGGGCAUCUCUGCAGACAGGUUUUGUAUUGUUCUAUUUCUCCUCCUUUCUAGAAAUUGAUAUAGCAGUCAAUGCCCUAGUAAUGAUGGGAUUAGCAUACAUCACUACAUCACCUCUCCACUGGUAUAGUCACGCAAAUUCCAUUAGGAAUGUUUCUGAACAAUUAUUGUUACAGCAAUGUGAAACUUUAUGUAUAGAUAGGCCCUAGCCAGGGCUAUGUCUCUACUGCAGUUCCAGAUAUGGCUGCAGCAAGUGUCCAUCUGCCAUAGCCAAAUGUUACUAAAUGAACACUGGUACUCUGAGAAGACAUCACACAGGAGCUCCAUCAACACGGACCUACGUUUCUGUAGGGAAUUCUCACUGAAGUUUGUGCUGCUGUGCUUUCUCUGCAACUGUUUCAUGGACUAUCUAGGCCAACACCAGUACAGGAAGGCAGUCAUAACUUCAGUGUCACUGUGACCAGAACUCUUACAUGGUCUCUUCUACAUGUACAUUGUAUUUGAACUAAACAUACCCAAAGCCAUACCUACGGUUGCCGGCAUAAGCAGAGUCUCCAGUGAACCCACAGAGACAAACACACAUAAAUGACUUUGUACUCACUCCUCACUGCGUCUCCAUCGUUAUGAAUAAAUGCUGGGUCAGGACCACAUGAA
Long non-coding RNA from Tyto alba (common barn owl), 6125 nucleotides. RefSeq lists it as uncharacterized. Lineage: Eukaryota; Metazoa; Chordata; Aves; Strigiformes; Tytonidae. The record is from RefSeq and is a predicted model, not a curated record. The transcript is spliced from 2 exons.